Molecule: small RNA, 2248 nt
Filed under: Pongo abelii (Sumatran orangutan)
Lineage: Eukaryota; Metazoa; Chordata; Mammalia; Primates; Hominidae
Description: processed transcript
Source: RNAcentral
ACUGAUAGGCCGGGCUGAUGCGCAGGCAAUUUAUCAUCUUGAUCUCCCACUGAGUCAGGGAGCUCUCCUGUCACCAGUAUUGAUUUCAGAGGAUGGACUAAAUUUCCUAGGAUUUCCAUUAAGAAUUAAGAAAAAAGCUCUAAGCACGCAGGGUAGCCAGACAGACAUGGAUAUGAGAUGGCACUGUGAAAACUCGCAGAUGUACUGGAGAAAGUUCUAUAUCUACUGGUGAAGGCUUAAUGGCUUAAUCUUCUGAUACCUGAUUUUCUUGUUUGUAAGACCACAGAUGACAUCCUUGUGGCGUCAGCAGAGUGUCCCAGCGAUGAUGAGGACAUUGACCCCUGUGAGCCGAGCUCAGCCAACCCAACCCGAGCAGGCGGCAGAGAGCCAUACCCAGGCUCAGCAGAAGUGAUCCGGGAGUCCAGCAGCACCACGGGUAUGGUCGUUGGGAUAGUAGCUGCUGCCGCCCUGUGCAUCCUUAUCCUCCUCUAUGCCAUGUACAAGUACAGAAACCGGGAUGAAGGCUCAUACCAUGUGGAUGAGAGUCGAAACUACAUCAGUAACUCAGCACAGUCCAAUGGGGCUGUCGUAAAGGAGAAACAACCCAGCAGUGCGAAAAGCUCCAACAAAAAUAAGAAAAACAAGGAUAAAGAGUAUUAUGUCUGAUCCCAAGAUCUUAAAUGGACACUUGUAUAGAAAUAGUCUUCAUUUUAUCUGAGACAUAAUAUAAACUUAUUUACUUUCCUUUUUAUGAAGCACAUACAAAAGAAGACAGGGAAUGCAAUCAGGAAGGAAAGACUUUUUAAAAAAUAAAAAGUAUCUCAUGCUCUUGUUUCUCAAAAAAGAAAAACAAAAAACAAAAAACAGGGGCCAAUAAAUUCCCUAACAUCCACAGUGUUUUCAUUUACUCUGCUUGUCUUUAUGUUGCUGGAACAUUUCUAAAAGACAGUGAUGACCGCACGCAUUCAUAAAGCAAAGGAGUAUUACAGCAUCAAGGCACAACACAAAAACCAACACAAAACAUAACACAAAAAAGAAGCUACCUAUGAUCCUGGAUUUAGCCAAAGUGCUAGCGCUUUCCUGAGAAGUCAGUUAGUCCAAUUGCCAGAGAAGACUGUCCUUUUGAGUGACUCAACCUGCAAACCUUUUAAGAGUUUGCCGCCUGGUGCAACUGGAGCAGUGGUUGGAACUUGCAUUUGAAACAAAGUGCUGGCUUUUUUGAAGACUUGUGUAGGAACACAUUCAAAAAGCCCCUUUCUGGUUGUGAGAGAGGAAAAAAAAGUAUGGAGGCCUUAUUUUCAAAAAUGUGAAAUAUAAGGCACGUUUUCACACAAAAUUUCAAAACAAAAACAAGAGGGCAUAGAUGCAAUCAUUGGGAAAUUUUCAUGCACGCUUAUUAUGUUAUUACAUAUGUUUAUAUAAAAUCCAUCUCUGUGUGCUUUCUGGACUGUGAUAAGUGACGUUUUAUAGCCUGUUGUAUAGAAAAUGCAAAAUAUAUCUCUGCUCUUCAGCCAUUUUUGGUAAAUUCAAUGUUAUAAGUGUUGCUAAGUAUAGGGAGUUUUAUGACAUCAGAGCAACAAUUAUUUCAGUUGGGUUUUUCUUUUUUUUGCCACCAUUACAAAUUGCCACAAUUACUUACUUACUUUUAUUUUUUAAAGAAAUUACACUGUAGUGUUUAUUCUAAGGAAGAUAUGUAUGAAUGUAUAUAAAAAGACUCAGCUACUUCUUUUCUUAUAUGUACAGCCUUCAUUCUGUUGCAAUUAAGUUUUAGUACUUGUAUGAAAGGUGUGAAUUAAUUAGAAAGUCACAUAUAUACAUAUGUAUCUUAUAAUCUUUUCUCCCUGAAAUACUCACAUUCCCACAUACAUUCACUAUUUUCACACACACACACACACACACACACACACACACACGAAUCCACAGCAAUCCAUCAGAUAUGCUGGAAGAUCCAAACGUGCAUACAGUAGCAAAUAUUUAUUGACAAAUUGAAAAGCAGGAAGGAAGAGGGUUGUGCCAAGGUAUUGAUGACAAAUGGGGGUGAUUUGCUUCAUUGAGAUCUUGCUCCCAGGUAACCUUAAGAAGAUUUUAGUCCCUAAUGAAAUGAACCUUUCCUUAUCAAAUAUAAUAUCACUGAUAUACUGCUGCAUGAAUAAGAACCAUUAUGUGGGCAGGUUAUGGAAGCAAAAUUGGUUAAUCUACACCUUAACUCUGGCUGCUACAAUUGAAAACUUUCUUUCUAAUAAAAUAA